Molecule: long non-coding RNA, 1325 nt
Filed under: Helianthus annuus (common sunflower)
Lineage: Eukaryota; Viridiplantae; Streptophyta; Magnoliopsida; Asterales; Asteraceae
Description: hypothetical non coding rna
Source: RNAcentral
AAUGUAAACUAAAAGAAGCGAGUCAGCUCCAGUCAAGCUAUAACUUGAAAUUUUACACACGAGUUAGAUCGAACAGAACUACAGAUGCUGUUUUGAUAAGUUAUUUCAAUAUUGUUUGUCUCCAUCACUUGGCUAUGUGUCGCGCCAUAUGUGUUGGUUGCUUUACAUGAUGAAUUCUAUAUACCUUAAUUCAUAUACAUAUUUUCCACCAAAGUAAGUUUUUUAAGAAUAGAGCAUAACUUUAUAUUCUUUUCAUGAUUUUAUAAAUGAUUUCAUAUUAAGAGAGGCCAUGGGGUAGCUCAGUAUCUUGGUAAAUCGCAGGUAUGUAUUGUAAUGUUGUUGGUUUGUUUUUAACGUUUUUUAUUUGGUUGUUGUAAUGGUUUGUUGUUUGAGUUGGAACAUGUGGAUUGAAUUUGCUCUUUUACAACCCUUUACAGUUCUUUCAUGUUAUAUUGCAUGAUUCAAUCACCCAUUUUAUUCAAUUUUUUUCUAUGACAUUUAAGUUUCAUCAUGAACAACAUUUAUGCACACCACCUGUUUGAUGAAAUGCCUGACUGAAAUUGAAAAUUUGUGUUCUUUAUUUUUAUUUAUUUUUUUUUUGUGUGAAACUUUCGAAUUUUAUCAGUAGGGUAAAAGUUUUUAACCAAAGUUAUAUAAUACGAUUAGUAUUGAAAAGUUUUUAUAAACUUGAUAAGAUGAAUAAUGAUGUUGAAAUCUAUGACUUUCAAGUCUGAGUUUGACUUUAUUUAGUCAAACAAAGAUAGUUUUAGGCCUUCGUUUUUCAGAUGUCAACGGCCCUUUGGUUUAAAUUUUGAUUACGUUUUCUGCGGUGAAUGCAAUGAAGAUGUUCUGCAUAUAAUAUUUCCAAACAUGAUGAUCUUGGCGAGGCAAAGAUGAGAUUAUCCACAUCUUGGCGGGGCAACCUGGAUGGUCAUGUGAAAGAUUGAAUAAGUUUGUGCUAUCACAUUACAAUCGGUUGAUAACUUGCGGCUGGGAAUGAGUGGCGACCAUAAUUUGAUUGUAAAGUUGUUAGUUCAACGCUGAUGUUGCAGAAGGGCCGGCCUAAUUGCUGAAUGUUUGGUAGGAUAUGAGACCGAGACUAUAUUGUUCACUGCAAGGAAUAAUCAAGAUAUUUAGAGUGGCGAAGAAGGAGAUGUAGUAUGCCUACAAACUGUCGGUGGAUCUAAUCGGUAUGGAAGUACAUUUGCACAACUAAAAACAUGUCUAUUGAUGGGAAGUCUCUAGCCAACUAGGAUGAGUUUUUUCAUUCCAAAGGUUCAUGUCGCUAUAUCUUAGUAUCACUUUUCUUUCAACAAACGAACUUU